Molecule: ribosomal RNA, 376 nt
Filed under: uncultured bacterium
Lineage: Bacteria
Description: bacterial SSU rRNA
Rfam family: Bacterial small subunit ribosomal RNA
Source: RNAcentral
GACGAACGCUGGCGGCGUGCUUAACACAUGCAAGUCGAGCGGUAAGGCCCUUUGGGGUACACGAGCGGCGAACGGGUGAGUAACACGUGAGUAAUCUGCCUUUGGCUUGGGAAUAACUUCGGGAAAUCGGGGCUAAUGCCUGAUGUUUACUGUCUGCUGCAUGGUGGGUGGUGGAAAGAUUUUUUGGCCAGGGAUGAGCUCGCGGUCUAUCAGCUUGUUGGUGGGGUAAUGGCUUACCAAGGCUUUGACGGGUAGCCGGCCUGAGAGGGUGUUCGGCCACACUGGGACUGAGACACGGCCCAGACUCCUACGGGAGGCAGCAGUGGGGAAUAUUGCGCAAUGGGCGUAAGCCUGACGCAGCGACGCCGCGUGGGGA